UUCUCUCUUAGUUUUCUCUCUUCUCCCAUUUGAGAAUUCUUAAGGAAUUCUAUUUGUUUGUAAUAUUUUGGAGAUAGUAAAGUUAUCAUCUGGUGUUAGUACCCGAGGACGUAGGUAUAAUUUACCGAACCUCGUUAAAACUCUUAUGUUCUUUUUGUCCUAUUUUUCUUUCAAUAUUUGAGGGUAUAAUAGUAGUAUUUAAUUGUGCUAUCAAAUUACUAUAGAAGGGAUAUUCUGACUAAGGAAAGACUUGGUAUUUAAGAGAUCCAUGUGAUCCACCUCUCUUCCCUGGGAAUUGAACUUUGUGUGAUUUUUUAGUACAAUAAUUUACACGCUUCCGACCCUAUUGGAACAACAAGUGGUAUCAAGAGCCGAAGGUUAAUCGUAGUAUGCUCUGUGGUUGCAGUUUGAACUGAUCUUCCACAUCAGAAAAGAUUUCCUUAGGUAUAUUGAAAGAUUAUGGAGAAAACGGUCGGUGUAGGAGCUUCAACAUCGUCCAUGUGGACAAGACCGACAAUUGCAAAUGCAAGACUGGCCGUGGAGAUCUUUGAUGGCACGGGCCAUUUUGGUAUGUGGCAAAGUGAGGUUCUAAAUGCCCUUUUUCAGCAGGGUUUAGACAUUGCCAUUGAUGAAGAGAAACCAGAUGAUGUACAGGAGAAAGAUUGGAAGGCGAUCAAUCGGUUGGCAUGUGGCACAAUUCGAUCAUGCCUUUCUCGAGAGCAGAGGUAUGCUUUUUCAAAGGAGACUUCUGCAAAUAAGUUGUGGGUGGCACUUGAAGAAAAUUUUUUGAAGAAAAACAGUCAAAAUAAGCUCCACUUGAAGAAAAGACUAUUUCGCUUCACAUACGUCCCAAGUACCACAAUGAAUGAUCACAUCACCAAAUUUAAUCAGUUAGUCACUGAUUUGCUGAAUAUGGAUGAGACAUUCAAAGAUGAAGAUUUGGCUUUGAUGCUGUUGGGGUCACUUCCUGAGGAGUUUGAGUUCCUAGAAACUACUCUACUUCAUGGCAGGAGUGAUAUAUCUCUGAGCAAAGUCUGUGCGGCCUUAUACAGUUAUGAACAGAGAAAGAAGGACAAACAGAAAAACUCAAUCAGAGAUACAGAAGCUUUAGUAGUCCGAGGUCGUUCAUACACUCGGAAGAAAACUCAAAAGAGGAGAUCAAAGUCAAAGUCCAGACUCGGGAAAGAUGAAUGUGCUUUUUGUCAUGAGAAAGGCCACUGGAAGAAAAAUUGUCCAAAGCUGAAGAAUAAGGGAAAAGCUGUUGUAGAUGCUUGUGUUGCAAAGCAUGAUACCAGUGACUCUGAACUAUCACUGGUUGCAUCAUCAUCGUCGUUCCAUUCAGAUGAGUGGAUAUUAGAUUCAGGUUGUACCUAUCAUAUGUCCCCUAACCGGGAGUGGUUCUCUGAUUUAGUAGAACUAAAUGGAGGAGUUGUUUAUAUGGGCAAUGACAAUGCCUGUAAAACUGUUGGGAUAGGUUCAAUCCAAUUAAAGAAUAAAGAUGGAUCAACCAGAGUUCUGACUGAUGUUCGGUACGUGCCCAGUUUGAAGAAAAAUCUCAUCUCAUUGGAAGCCCUAGAAUUCAAUGGUUCAGUUGUUACUAUGAGAGAUGGGGUUUUGAAAGUGACAUCUGGCGCACUUGUGAUAUUGAAGGGCAUCAGGAAAAAUAACUUGUAUUACUACCAAGGUAGUACAGUUAUUGGAGCAGUCGCUACAGCUUCCGGCAACAAAGAAUUGGACUCAAUACAGUUGUGGCAUAUGAAGUUGGGACAUGCCAGCGAAAAAUCCUUGCAAAUUCUGGCAAAGCAAGGAUUGUUGAAAGGUGCAAAGGCUUGCAAAUUAAAAUUUUGCGAGCAUUGUGUUCUGGGAAAGCAAAAGAGAGUGAAAUUCGGUACUACUAUCCAUAAUACAAAAGGUAUUUUGGAAUAUGUUCACUCAGAUGUGUGGGGGCCUUCCAAGACACUUUCAUUGGGAGGAAAACACUACUUUGUUACUUUUGUUGAUGACUUUUCCAGAAGAGUUUGGGUGUAUACCAUGAGAACUAAGGAUGAAGUGCUUAGAGUUUUUCUUAAAUGGAAAACUAUGAUCGAAAACCAGACUGGCAAGAAAAUCAAGCGGCUUAGGACGGACAAUGGAGGGGAAUAUAAAAGUGAUCCGUUCUUCGAUGUGUGCCAAGAGUAUGGUAUUGUUCGACACUUCAUAGUUAGGGAUACACCACAGCAGAAUGGAUUGGCAGAGCGUAUGAAUCGAACAUUGCUGGAGAAAGUUCAAUGUAUGUUGUCCAAUGCUGGGUUGGGCAAGCAAUUUUGGGCUGAGGCUGUGACAUACGCUGGCCAUCUUGUUAAUCGUUUGCCAUCAUCUGCAUUAGAAAGAAAAACUCCUAUGGAGGUAUGGUCUGGAAAACCGGCUACAGAUUAUGAUUCCUUACAUGUGUUUGGAUCCACUGCAUAUUACCAUGUGAAGGAGUCAAAGUUAGAUUCGAGGGUAAAGAAAGCUCUCUUUAUGGGAAUCACUUCUGGAGUGAAGGAUUUCGUCUUUGGUGAUUAAGCACAAAGAAAAUGAUCUGUAGCAGAGAUGUUACCUUUGAUGAAUCUGCCAUAUUGAAAAAGGUAGCAGAUAAAGAUAUUCAGACGAGCAAUACUCCACAGCAGGUGGAGUGUACUCCAAAACAGGUGGAGUUUGAGCAGAUGGGGAUUUGCCCAGUUAAUAAGUCUAAUUCUCCAGCCACAAUGGAGGAAUUAGAGGUUGAAGAGGUUCUGACCCAAGAACCACUAAGUACACCAGAACCAGUUGCAGUUGCAAGGCCACGGAGAGAAAUUCGUAAACCUGCUCGAUUUACUGAUAUGGUGGCCUACGCCCUUCCCGUUGUUGAUGAUAUUCCUAUCACUUAUCAAGAAGCAAUGCAAAGCUUAGAAAGUGAUAAAUGGAAAAGCGCCAUGGAUGAAGAAAUGCAGUCUCUCCGGAAGAACAAUACUUGGGAGUUGGCGCAAUUACCGAAAGGUAAAAGGGCAAUCGGAUGCAAGUGGGUAUUCGCAAAGAAAGAUGGAUCUCCUAGCAAGAAGGAUAUUCGCUACAAGGCAAGAUUGGUAGCUAAAGGCUACGCUCAGAAGGAGGAAAUUGACUACAAUGAUGUAUUUUCCCCUGUUGUGAAGCAUUCCUCCAUUAGAAUUUUGUUGGCCUUGGUAGCACAGUUGAAUUUGGAGCUAGCUCAACUUGAUGUUAAGACGGCUUUCUUGCAUGGUGAGUUAGAAGAGGAGAUCUAGAUGACUCAGCCCGAAGGAUACACAGAUGCUGGUGGUAGAAAUUGGGUUUGUAAGCUGAACAAAUCGCUAUAUGGAUUGAAGCAAUCCCCGAGGCAGUGGUACAAGCGAUUUGAUAGCUUUAUGAGAAGGCAGAAGUACACAAGAAGCAAAUAUGACAAUUGUGUGUAUUUGCAGAAGCUGCAUGGCGGAUCUUUCAUUUAUCUACUCUUGUAUGUUGAUGAUAUGUUAAUCGCUUCGAAGAGCCAAAAAGAGAUAGAUAAGCUGAAGGCUCAGUUGAAUCAAGAGUUCGAGAUGAAAGAUCUAGGUGAGGCCAAGAAGAUUCUCGGCAUGGAGAUAAGUAGAGAUAGACAGAGAGGCAAGCUUUUUUUGAAUCAGAAGCAAUAUCUGAAAAAGGUAUUACAAUGUUUUGGUGUAAAUGAAAACACAAAACAUGUAAGUACCCCACUUGCUUCUCAUUUGAAACUUAGUGCUCAAUUAUCUCCGAAAACUGAAGAAGAAAGAGAAUAUAUGGCGAAAGUCCCAUAUGCUAAUGCAGUUGGGAGUUUGAUGUAUGCGAUGGUAUGUACGAGGCCUGACAUUUCACAAGCUAUUGGAGUUGUGAGCAGGUAUAUGCAUGAUCCUGGAAAAGGACAUUGGCAAGCUGUGAAAUGGAUUCUACGGUAUCUUCGAAAAACCGUAGAUGUUGGUUUAAUUUUUGAACAGGAUGAAGCACUUGGUCAGUUUGUAGUUGGAUAUGUUGAUUCCGACUUUGCUGGUGAUUUAGAUAAACGUCGUUCAACUACGGGGUAUUUGUUUACUCUUGCGAAAGCCCCAGUGAGUUGGAAGUCUACCUUACAGUCUACAGUAGCUGUGUCUACUAUAGAGGCAGAAUAUAUGGCAGUUACAGAAGCUGUUAAGGAGGCUAUUUGGCUUAAUGGAUUGUUGAAAGACUUAGGAGUUGUUCAAAGUCACAUAAGUUUAUAUUGUGACAGUCAGAGCGCUAUUCAUUUAGCGAAAAAUCAAGUCUAUCAUUCAAGAACCAAGCAUAUCGACGUAAGAUAUCACUUUGUGUGGGAAGUCUUUGAAAAAGGAAAAAUUCUACUUCAGAAGAUUCCGACAGCAGAUAAUCCCGCAGAUAUGAUGACCAAGGUGGUAACAACAAUCAAGUUUAAUCAUUGUUUGAACUUGAUUAACAUCCUGAGAAUUUGAGCACCUUCAGGUGUAUGGCGCUCGAGAGCGCAUUUGUAGGCACUACAAAAGAUAGCUUUAUCGAAUUUGGGGAGUUGAAGGAAGUGUGUGAAGAUGUGAUUAUUCUAAUCAAAUCUUCAAGGUGGAGAUUGUUAACAUUAAUGGAAGAUAAUUAAUAAUGGUUGCCAUUAACAUUAAUGGGAGACAAUCAAUAAUGACAACCACCAACUUUGGGAAAGUGGCAAGGGAUAAUUUUUUUUUGGUCCUUGAGAUAAUGGGCUAUUUAUUGUUUGGUCCUUGAACCUCAACUAUAAAUAGGCCUUCUCAUUUCUCAUUUCAAUUCAUCCCAACCAAUCUUUCUCUCUUAGUUUUCUCUCUUCUCCCAUUUGAGAAUUCUUAAGGAAUUCUAUUUGUUUGUAAUAUUUUGGAGAUAGUAAAGUUAUCAUCUGGUGUUAGUGCCCGAAGACGUAGGUAUAAUUUACCGAACCUCGUUAAAACUCUUAUGUUCUUUUUGUCCUAUUUUUCUUUCAAUAUUUGAGGGUAUAAUAGUAGUAUUUAAUUGUGCUAUUAAAUUAC
Molecule: long non-coding RNA, 5003 nt
Filed under: Gossypium barbadense (sea-island cotton)
Lineage: Eukaryota; Viridiplantae; Streptophyta; Magnoliopsida; Malvales; Malvaceae
Description: long non-coding RNA (GBAR_LNC015869)
Source: RNAcentral